UACGUAGGGGGCAAGCGUUGUCCGGAUUUAUUGGGCGUAAAGAGCGUGUAGGCGGCUUGGUAGGUCCGCUGUGAAAACUCGAGGCUCAACCUCAGGCCUGCAGUCGAUACGAGCAGACUAGAGUGUUGCAGGGGAGACUGGAAUUCCUGGUGUAGCGGUGAAAUGCGUAGAUAUCUGGAGGAACACCGGUGGCGAAGGCGGCAUCCUGGACCGGUAUUGACGCUGAUGCGCGAAAGCCAGGGGAGCAAACGGG
RNAcentral lists this ribosomal RNA (253 nucleotides) under uncultured bacterium. RNAcentral's name for it is "partial 16S ribosomal RNA". It matches the Rfam family "Bacterial small subunit ribosomal RNA", at positions 524 to 776 of the family's 1533-position model. The record is from RNAcentral.